ACUUCGAUAGCACAGUUGGUAGAGCAGCAGACUGUAGAUGCUAAAAUAGCUGUCCUGAGGUCACUGGUUCAAAUCUGGCUUGAAGAC
Molecule: non-coding RNA, 87 nt
Organism: Pangasius djambal
Lineage: Eukaryota; Metazoa; Chordata; Actinopteri; Siluriformes; Pangasiidae
Source: the annotation of a GenBank genome assembly